RNAcentral lists this ribosomal RNA (253 nucleotides) under uncultured bacterium. Its description in RNAcentral is "partial 16S ribosomal RNA". It matches the Rfam family "Bacterial small subunit ribosomal RNA", at positions 524 to 776 of the family's 1533-position model. The record is from RNAcentral.
UACGUAGGGUGCAAGCGUUGUCCGGAAUUAUUGGGCGUAAAGAGCUCGUAGGUGGCCUGUCGCGUCGGCUGUGAAAACCCGGGGCUCAACCCCGGGCCUGCAGUCGAUACGGGCAGACUAGAGUGCGGUAGGGGAGACUGGAAUUCCUGGUGUAGCGGUGAAAUGCGCAGAUAUCAGGAGGAACACCGGUGGCGAAGGCGAGUCUCUGGACAUUUCCUGACGCUGAGGCACGAAAGCCAGGGGAGCAAACGGG